This 447-nucleotide ribosomal RNA is filed under the name uncultured bacterium. Its description in RNAcentral is "partial 16S ribosomal RNA". It matches the Rfam family "Bacterial small subunit ribosomal RNA", at positions 339 to 795 of the family's 1533-position model. The record is from RNAcentral.
CUACGGGGUGCAGCAGUUUGGAAUAUUGGACAAUGGGCGAAAGCCUGAUCCAGCGACGCCGCGUGGACGAUGAAGGCCUUCGGGUUGUAAAGUCCUUUUGCUAGGGAACAAUAUUUUGAGCGUACCUAGAGAAUAAGAGGUUGCUAACUCUGUGCCAGCAGCAGCGGUAAUACAAGAGACCUCAAGCGUUAUCCGGAAUUAUUGGGCGUAAAGCGUACCGAUCGGUGGUUUUGUAAGUCAGAAGUGAAAUCUUCAGGCUCAACCUGGAGACUGUCUUUUGAAACUACAAAGCUAGAGGGACAAAGAGGAAGCCGGAACGAACGGUGUAGUAGUGAAAUGCGUUGAUAUCGUUCGGAACACCAAUAGCGAAGGCAGGCUUCUGGGUGUCUCCUGACACUGCUAGGACGAGAGCGUGGGUAGCGAAUGGGAUUAGAUACCCUGGUAGUC